UACGAGGGGGGCGAGCGUUUGUUCGGAAUUAUUGGGCGUAAAGGGUGCGUAGGCGGUUUGGUAAGUCUGAUGUGAAAUCUAUGGGCUCAACUCAUAGUCUGCAUCGGAAACUGCCGGGCUUGAGUAUGGGAGAGGUGAGUGGAAUUCCUGGUGUAGCGGUGAAAUGCGUAGAUAUCAGGAGGAACACCAAUGGCGAAGGCAGCACUCUGGGACGUGACUGACGCUGAGACGCGAAAGCGUGGGGAGCAAACAGG
This 254-nucleotide ribosomal RNA is filed under the name uncultured bacterium. Its description in RNAcentral is "partial 16S ribosomal RNA". It matches the Rfam family "Bacterial small subunit ribosomal RNA", at positions 524 to 776 of the family's 1533-position model. The record is from RNAcentral.